CCUACGGGAGGCUGCAGUGGGGAAUAUUGCACAAUGGGCGCAAGCCUGAUGCAGCCAUGCCGCGUGUGUGAAGAAGGCCUUCGGGUUGUAAAGCACUUUCAGCGGGGAGGAAGGCGGUGAGGUUAAUAACCUCAUCGAUUGACGUUACCCGCAGAAGAAGCACCGGCUAACUCCGUGCCAGCAGCCGCGGUAAUACGGAGGGUGCAAGCGUUAAUCGGAAUUACUGGGCGUAAAGCGCACGCAGGCGGUCUGUCAAGUCGGAUGUGAAAUCCCCGGGCUCAACCUGGGAACUGCAUUCGAAACUGGCAGGCUAGAGUCUUGUAGAGGGGGUAGAAUUCCAGGUGUAGCGGUGAAAUGCGUAGAGAUCUGGAGGAAUACCGGUGGCGAAGGCGGCCCCCUGGACAAAGACUGACGCUCAGGUGCGAAAGCGUGGGGAGCAAACAGGAUUAGAUACCCUAGGAGUC
Molecule: ribosomal RNA, 464 nt
Filed under: uncultured Klebsiella sp.
Lineage: Bacteria; Pseudomonadati; Pseudomonadota; Gammaproteobacteria; Enterobacterales; Enterobacteriaceae
Description: bacterial SSU rRNA
Rfam family: Bacterial small subunit ribosomal RNA
Source: RNAcentral